RNAcentral lists this ribosomal RNA (490 nucleotides) under uncultured bacterium. RNAcentral's name for it is "partial 16S ribosomal RNA". It matches the Rfam family "Bacterial small subunit ribosomal RNA", at positions 29 to 507 of the family's 1533-position model. The record is from RNAcentral.
AGUGAACGCUGGCGGUAGGCCUAACACAUGCAAGUCGAACGGCAGCACAGGAGAGCUUGCUCCCUAGGUGGCGAGUGGCGGACGGGUGAGGAAUACAUCGGAAUCUGCCCAGUCGUGGGGGAUAACGUAGGGAAACUUACGCUAAUACCGCAUACGACCUUCGGGUGAAAGAGGGGGAUCGCAAGACCUCUCGCGAUUGGAUGAGCCGAUGUCGGAUUAGCUAGUUAGCGGGGUAAUGGCCCACCAAGGCGACGAUCCGUAGCUGGUCUGAGAGGAUGAUCAGCCACACUGGAACUGAGACACGGUCCAGACUCCUACGGGAGGCAGCAGUGGGGAAUAUUGGACAAUGGGCGCAAGCCUGAUCCAGCCAUACCGCGUGGGUGAAGAAGGCCUUCGGGUUGUAAAGCCCUUUUGUUGGGAAAGAAAUCUUUCAGGCUAAUACCCUGGGAGGAUGACGGUACCCAAAGAAUAAGCACCGGCUAACUUCGUG